Taeniopygia guttata (zebra finch) is the source of this 1046-nucleotide non-coding RNA. Lineage: Eukaryota; Metazoa; Chordata; Aves; Passeriformes; Estrildidae. The record is from RefSeq and is a predicted model, not a curated record.
CAAAUUUAGGGGCCGUUGGUUUCUGGGCUGGGAGCACACGCUGCUGGCUCAUGUUGAGUUUUUCAUUAACCAUCACCCCCAAUGUUUCUCCUCAGUUCCUUCUCCAUCCAACCUGUGUGUCUGGGAUAGAGGGCAACAACAGCUUCCCCAGAGCAGCUGUGGCUACCCCUGGAUCCCUGGAAGUGUUCAAGGCCAGGCUGGACAGUGGGGCUUGGAGUUACCUGGGAUGGUGGAAGGUGUCCCUGCCCAUGGCAUGGGGUGGAACUGGUGCUGCCACACAGAGGCAGAGUUGAGGCUGCUUCUAAGGGGAAAGAGUGAAGGAAGAAAAUCCUUUUUGGUUAGAAAUUACCUGCAUUUCCUGCUGGGGACACCCCAUCACCUAUCAAGGCUUUUUCCUUAUCCAAGAACUCGUGGUUUAGGUUAUUUUCUUAAGCACCUUUACAUGUCCUGAGGAUGAGCUGAACACCAAACCAGAUGAACGAGCUGCAGGAGCCCAGCACUUGCCCACAUGGGGCUGACCUUUUGAAGGACCACUUGAAGAGAGCAGAGGCUUGGCCAGGUGAUGAUUCCAAGCUCUGCAGUCCCUGGAUCAGGUACAGCAUGAGAGCCCUGACCUCAUUUACAGCUCCUGCAUUUCUGAAAUGCCAAGAGAUUAUGCAGAGAGCUUUCCUGAGUGUGAUCAUGUGAGGCAGGAGACAUGAAGUCAUUGUCCUAAAGCCCAAGGUGAAACCAGACUGUCCCAAAAAGUCCCAGCCAGGCUUGGAGCUGCAUUUUGUAGUGCUGCAGGAAGCAGAACUGAUCCUGGCUAAUUUUUUCUAGGUGGUUUUGCUAAGGUGAAGGGGAUUUUGUGGUCACACCAACACACAACCACAAUUUGAGCAAGGUUUGGGUUACAAAAAUACCAAAUGUGUGUGAAUUUCAUGAGUUGUCUAUUAGAGUGAACUGUUUCCUGGCUUCAUCCUUUUGGGAAAGUUGGCAUCUAGAAUUCCACUCAGAGCAGUUUUCUGGGCAUCAGCAUUAAAAAAAUAAAAGUGAAGACAUAAUUA